Molecule: ribosomal RNA, 397 nt
Filed under: uncultured bacterium
Lineage: Bacteria
Description: bacterial SSU rRNA
Rfam family: Bacterial small subunit ribosomal RNA
Source: RNAcentral
AACGAACGUUGGCGGCGUGGAUUAGGCAUGCAAGUCGAACGAAGACGUUUUGGGUAGCAAUACUUGAGACGGACUGAGUGGCGAAAGGGGCAGUAAUGCGUGGGUAACCUACCCUGGGGAUGGGCAUAGCCGGACUAACGUCCGGGUAAUUCCCAGCGAUGUGACGAGGGGACAUCCUCUUGUCACCAAAUGGAUUCCGCCCUGGGAGGGGCUCACGUCGUAUUAGCUUGUUGGCGGGGUAACGGCCCACCAAGGCAAAGAUGCGUAGCGGGUGUGAGAGCACGACCCGCGCCACUGGCACUGAGACACUGGCCAGACACCUACGGGUGGCUGCAGUCGAGGAUUCUUUGGCAAUGGGCGCAAGCCUGACCAAGCGACGCCGCGUGUGCGAUGAAGG